GAAAUGCGAUAAGUAGUGUGAAUUGCAGAAUUUAGCGAAUCAUCGAAUCUUUGAACGCACAUUGCGCCCCUUGGUAUUCCAUGGGGCAUGCCUGUUCGAGCGUCAUUUCAACCCUCAAGCACUGCUUGGUGUUGGGCGUUUGUCCCGCCUACGCGCGUGGACUCGCCUCAAAGUCAUUGGCAGCUGUUCCCCUUCGGCUCGUAAGCGCAGCACAGUCGGCGCCCGGAGCUCUGGUGGGAUGGCGUCCAGCAAGCGAUAUUUUCAGGCUUGACCUCGGAUCAGGUAGGGAUACCCGCUGAACUUAAGC
This 307-nucleotide unclassified non-coding RNA is filed under the name plant metagenome. RNAcentral describes it as "partial contains 5.8S ribosomal RNA, internal transcribed spacer 2, and large subunit ribosomal RNA". The stretch from base 1 to 105 matches the Rfam family "5.8S ribosomal RNA", at positions 50 to 154 of the family's 154-position model. The record is from RNAcentral.